GUGUGGCUUGCCCCAGGUCACACAGCGGGGCAGGGGCCCAGGGCCUAGCCUGCCAGUCCUGUUUCUGCCCCCAUCCUGGGGUUCUGGUGCAGGGUCUCCUGCCUGUGCUGACCAGCAGUAUUCAUGAGGUGCUGGGAAGCCCAGGGUCCUCCUCUGGAAGUGGUGACGGUCCCGGCCUCCAGGAGCGGCCGCAAGGAUUCAGAGCUGAUAAGGUGAACGCCUAGGGUGGGGCCUGGUGCACUGGGAGAGCUCAGGCCCUGGGGCUGGAUUAACUGUCCCUGGGGCACAGACACUGGUCUGGGGGCCUAGAGAGCCCUCAGAGCCGCCCCACUGUCCCCCACUGAAGCCAUC
RNAcentral lists this long non-coding RNA (351 nucleotides) under Equus asinus (donkey). RNAcentral describes it as "lncRNA (ENSEASG00005028705.1)". The record is from RNAcentral. Lineage: Eukaryota; Metazoa; Chordata; Mammalia; Perissodactyla; Equidae.